UAUUAUCACUUUCAGUUUAAAAGGUGUCGGAAAUUUGCUUGUAUAAUGAUGUUGGAAAAAAUGAUAUCAUUUUGUCGGAAAUUUGCUUCUAAUGUUUGAAAAAAUUAUCUAAUUUUUUCAAACAUUUAUACAAGCAAAUUUCCGACACCUUUUAAACUGAAAGUGAUAAUA
Molecule: non-coding RNA, 171 nt
Organism: Paramuricea clavata
Lineage: Eukaryota; Metazoa; Cnidaria; Anthozoa; Malacalcyonacea; Plexauridae
Source: the annotation of a GenBank genome assembly